AUACGGAGGGUGCAAGCGUUGUUCGGAAUUAUUGGGCGUAAAGAGCAUGUAGGCGGUCUGUUAAGUCUGGUGUGAAAGCCCGGGGCUCAACCCCGGAAGUGCAUUGGAUACUGGCAGACUUGAGUAUGGGAGAGGAAAGCGGAAUUCCGAGUGUAGGAGUGAAAUCCGUAGAUAUUCGGAGGAACACCAGUGGCGAAGGCGGCUUUCUGGACCAAUACUGACGCUGAGAUGCGAAAGCGUGGGGAGCAAACAGGAUUAGAUACCCCGGUAGUCC
Molecule: ribosomal RNA, 274 nt
Filed under: uncultured bacterium
Lineage: Bacteria
Description: partial 16S ribosomal RNA
Rfam family: Bacterial small subunit ribosomal RNA
Source: RNAcentral